CAAUUCAUCCAAUACUCGAUCCGAUACUCGAGAAGAAAAUCUUAUUGUACAAGGUCCUAGCAGUAGAAUAAGAUCCCAUUCAACUAGCUCAGAAUCAUCUUCGAGUUUAUCAUCAAUAAGUUCAAGUUCAUCAUCUUCAUCUAGUUCAUCUGAAUCGGAUCAAUAAUUGUAAGCGCCGUGUAUGUAAAACUUUCUUUAAAAACACAUUGGCUAUUAGUAAUCGACCUAUCGCAACUGUUAUAUCAAAAAAA
This 251-nucleotide unclassified non-coding RNA is filed under the name Melitaea cinxia (Glanville fritillary). RNAcentral describes it as "misc RNA ENSMCXG00005008598.1". Lineage: Eukaryota; Metazoa; Arthropoda; Insecta; Lepidoptera; Nymphalidae. The record is from RNAcentral.